UACCGGCACCCCGAGUGGUCGGGACGUUUUAUUGGGCCUAAAGCAUCCGUAGCCGGUUCUACAAGUCUUCCGUUAAAUCCAACUGCUUAACAGGUGGGCUGCGGAAGAUACUAUAGAGCUAGGAGGCGGGAAAGGCAAGCGGUACUCGAUGGGUAGGGGUAAAAUCCGUUGAUCCAUUGAAGACCACCAGUGGCGAAGGCGGCUUGCCAGAACGCGCUCGACGGUGAGGGAUGAAAGCUGGGGGAGCAAACCGG
This 254-nucleotide ribosomal RNA is filed under the name uncultured bacterium. RNAcentral describes it as "partial 16S ribosomal RNA". It matches the Rfam family "Archaeal small subunit ribosomal RNA", at positions 474 to 727 of the family's 1478-position model. The record is from RNAcentral.